This 409-nucleotide ribosomal RNA is filed under the name uncultured bacterium. RNAcentral describes it as "bacterial SSU rRNA". It matches the Rfam family "Bacterial small subunit ribosomal RNA", at positions 366 to 769 of the family's 1533-position model. The record is from RNAcentral.
UGGCAUGGGGGGAACCCUGAUCAGCCUGCCGCGUGUGUGAAGAAGGCCUUUUGGUUGUAAAGCACUUUAAGCGAGGAGGAGGAGCUCUAGAUUAAUACUCUAGAUGCUUGGACGUUACUCGCAGAAUAAGCACCGGCUAACUCUGUGCCAGCAGCCGCGGUAAUACAGAGGGUGCAAGCGUUAAUCGGAUUUACUGGGCGUAAAGCGUGCGUAGGUGGUCUUUUAAGUCGGAUGUGAAAUCCCUGAGCUUAACUUAGGAAUUGCAUUCGAUACUGGGAGACUAGAGUAUGGGAGAGGAUGGUAGAAUUCCAGGUGUAGCGGUGAAAUGCGUAGAGAUCUGGAGGAAUACCGAUGGCGAAGGCAGCCAUCUGGCCUAAUACUGACACUGAGGUACGAAAGCAUGGGGAGC